CGGCGCGUAGCUCAGCGGUGAGAGCGGCGUCCUUAUAAGACGCGAGUCGUGGGUUCAACUCCCACCGCGCCGA
Molecule: transfer RNA, 73 nt
Filed under: Blastopirellula marina
Lineage: Bacteria; Pseudomonadati; Planctomycetota; Planctomycetia; Pirellulales; Pirellulaceae
Also listed under: 1 other name
Description: tRNA-Ile
Rfam family: tRNA
About the family: Transfer RNA (tRNA) molecules are approximately 80 nucleotides in length.
Source: RNAcentral